This 478-nucleotide ribosomal RNA is filed under the name uncultured bacterium. RNAcentral's name for it is "partial 16S ribosomal RNA". It matches the Rfam family "Bacterial small subunit ribosomal RNA", at positions 28 to 523 of the family's 1533-position model. The record is from RNAcentral.
GACGAACGCUGGCGGCGUGCUUAACACAUGCAAGUCGAACGGUAAGGUCCUUCGGGGUACACGAGUGGCGAACGGGUGAGUAACACGUGGGUGAUCUGCCCUGCACUUCGGGAUAAGCCUGGGAAACUGGGUCUAAUACCGGAUAGGACCACUGCCUGCAUGGGUGGUGGUGGAAAGCUUUUGCGGUGUGGGAUGGGCCCGCGGCCUAUCAGCUUGUUGGUGGGGUGAUGGCCUACCAAGGCGACGACGGGUAGCCGGCCUGAGAGGGUGACCGGCAACACUGGGACUGAGAUACAGCCCAGACUCCUACGGGAGGCAGCAGUAGGGAAUAUUGCACAAUGGGCGCAAGCCUGAUGCAGCGACGCCGCGUGAGGGAUGACGGCCUUCGGGUUGUAAACCUCUUUCAGCACCGACGAAGCGCAAGUGACGGUAGGUGCAGAAGAAGGACCGGCCAACUACGUGCCAGCCGCCGCCGUAA